This 208-nucleotide ribosomal RNA is filed under the name uncultured bacterium. RNAcentral's name for it is "partial 16S ribosomal RNA". It matches the Rfam family "Bacterial small subunit ribosomal RNA", at positions 1293 to 1500 of the family's 1533-position model. The record is from RNAcentral.
UCGGAUUGUAGUCUGCAACCCGACUACAUGAAGCUGGAAUCGCUAGUAAUCGCGAAUCAGAAUGUCGCGGUGAAUACGUUCCCGGGUCUUGUACACACCGCCCGUCACACCAUGGGAGUUGGAAAUGCCCGAAGUCAGUGACCCAACCGCAAGGAGGGAGCUGCCGAAGGCAGGUCCGGUAACUGGGGUGAAGUCGUAACAAGGUAGC